Molecule: long non-coding RNA, 1234 nt
Filed under: Sciurus vulgaris (Eurasian red squirrel)
Lineage: Eukaryota; Metazoa; Chordata; Mammalia; Rodentia; Sciuridae
Description: lncRNA (ENSSVLG00005013471.1)
Source: RNAcentral
CCAAAUAAUUCCAUCUAGCAGCAGUUUGGGGCUGGUCAGUGAGGAGGGAGUGAUGCUCCUUGCGUGUCCUUGAGGGGCUUCCUGCCCAAGCCUGGAGUCUUCAGAGAAGUCUCUGUCUAUUGUACAGCAUGUGGACUCCUCAGCCUGGGCCACUGUCCUGGCUGUGGUCUGGCUGCACACCCAUGGUAAGGACCAGAAGAUGGAGUGGGAGCUUCUGGAAAGGAAGGCUGUAUCCUGGAUUCACAUCCAAGCAGGCUCCAUGGUGCCCAUGCUUGUGAAAGCUGCCAAUGCUCUCCUGAAGUCAUCUGUGGAUCCUGCAGUCUUUGCUCCCUGAGGAUGCCUUCCAGAAAAAAAAAAAAAAAAAACCAAAAAAAUCUCCCCAUGGCAAUCAGCGCUCUCUUCACCAUCUCUUCUGCUGUGAUGUGGUUUUGCAUCUUAUAUCUCACCUAUCAUUCCUCUUGCCAUUAAAGUAAAUGAUGCCCACACCACCUUACCUGUCUGUUCCGUGUCCCUUUGGAUGAGCUCUUCUUUACUCAGCAUGACCCUCAGACAAGUGAUGUAGUUCCAGAACCUGUUUCUUUCUUAGAGGAGUGCAAAAUAUUCACAACAGUAAUUAAUAUUCCUCGUAGUCAUUUCACAGAGAUGACAAUAAAAAUAGGUGACAUGAGCCCCAGACUAGUUAUUUAAUAUUUAAUGCUAGAGAUGGUUUAAAUUAGAGAAUUCUCUGUAUUACCUUUGUCUACCCACUUUUGUUCUUAUAUACUUACCAGGACCAUAUUGGUAAGCUUUGAAUUUUUUAUUCUUGACGGAGGAGUUGGAGGGUAGUUACAAACCAAUGUCAGGAUUGAUGCAACCUCAGGAUCACAAAGAGAGAUACCUGAGGGAUCCACUGUGAGCAAUUAACUCUGCCUGGGGUUUGUUAGUCUGUACCACACACCUUUCUUUUGACAGCCUAAGUGACAUGGGUUGAGCUGUGAUUGUUGGAGACAGAUGUUCUCCUACAUCACUAAAUACCUUGUAAUAGGACUGGAAUGGAAACCUUAGGACUAGCCUGAACCCAUGAGGACUAUACCUCAGGCUCUGGUCCAGUGCAAUAAUAAAAAAGUAGGGAUGAUGGAGGCCUGAGACCUGAACCUGGAUUGUUCACCACAAGAAGAAUAGUGGAGUUCCACUUCUGACCCUUAUGUCUCAAAUAUCUUAGUGGAAUGCAGUGGCCCUAUUUGCUGUAAUGCAG